Molecule: unclassified non-coding RNA, 8906 nt
Filed under: Leishmania donovani
Lineage: Eukaryota; Euglenozoa; Kinetoplastea; Trypanosomatida; Trypanosomatidae
Description: gene:LdHU3.11.1290(CDS-product:hypothetical_prote in)
Source: RNAcentral
AGUGCUGGCGAGGCGGUUUUCUGCCGCGUCCGACGACACCCGCCUCUCUUCCCCGAAAAAGACCUUGCUCUCUUCGGCGCUAUCCGCAUCACCUCUCAUAUACGCACGCGUGUUGCGGAAGAGACGACUUGGAGAGAGAGGGGGAGGGAGGGCGAAAAAGUGCUUUGCGGUGGGGAGGGAGGGGCGCGCGCGCUGUGUUGUUGCUGCUGUGGAUUCCACACGCCCAUUCGCGCUCUCGCUUCCGCCCAUCACCACGCAAACCCACACCGAUACAAACUCCUGCUCGUGGAAUUCGACUAGUACCACUGUCUUACAGAUCUCUUCGUUCCUCUUCUUUUUCGGCCCCCUCAUCAUACCGGAGGAGGGGCUUGUGUCUCUGCCGUUGAACGGUACCCCUACCCUCUCCUUUUACUUUAUUGAGCUGGAGGGUGGUGGUGGUCAUUUGCUCACACACCUCAACGCACGCAGCCCCGUGCUCAUAGUAAAGGGGACCCACAGGGAGUGCGUGUGUGUGCCUGUCGAUGAGGGGAGAGGGAGGGAGAGGGGGGCUGAACGCAUUAAUAAGAAAAGUUCCACGGGCCCCUGCCACACGGCCUCUUGUGGGCGUGUUGGUGUUCGGAUUUCGCAUUGCUGCUUCGCUCCUGUUCUCGUUUCCUUAUUUGUACGUCUCGCCCUUGUACUCGUGCUUGCUUCGCACGCGCGCCGCAUCUCUCUCUCUCUCUCGUGUGCGUAUGUGUGCCCUGCUUGGGCACCGUUAGAAGUGCGUAAAGAGAGGGGUCUACGCGACGCUACACGACAUCAUCAUCACCAUAUAUAUACACACACACAAACAGACAACAAUCAAAAGGAGAGGGUGGGCAACAACACGCAGCAGCGGCAUAACGCAACGAAAGCGGUGUUGAACCUCUUCCCUCGAGUCCCCGUGUUUCCUCAUCUCUUGGCCGGCUUUGGUGGUCUUUACGGGUAUUGUGUUUCGUUCAUCAAUAACAGAUACUAAUAAUACUAAUAAAAAGGGGUCGCAAAUAACGGGACAAAACCCUUACACACACGCGCACACACACAUACACACACGCGGGCGUGCCCGCAGACCCCGCAGCUCGUUUCUCGAAUUCCGCACAGCGCACUCAACCAAAACAAGAGAGAAGAGAGCGCUGGCAUCACCGUCUGCUUCGUCUUUCUGCGUUCUUUUCCUUCUGCGCUGCCUCUAUCGUUUUUCUUUUUUCGUGGGUUUUGUUUUCGCACACGUGUGCCUCUGAUUUUGCUUGUGCCGUCUCCGUCGCACAGCCUUGUGCGCAUGUGUGUGUGCGUGUGUGUGUGUGUGUGCCUUGCGCAUUCAUCUUGACUGGAAGCCCCCGUGUCUUCUCUUGCCUUAACUUGUCUUUGCUUGCUCUUCGUUUAUUUUGUUUUGGUUUCGUCGCUACAAGAGGCUCCCCCCGCGCUGCUCUCCUCUCCCCCUCCACACACACGUUUAAGACCGAAGAAGGAAGGAAAGCAAGUGCACGUGUGGACGGCGUCCCUUAGUGCGUAUUUAUAUGUGUAUGUGUGUGUCUCGCUAUCUUUUCCGGUGCCAUGCUCUCAGGUGCAGCAGCUGGCGCCCGCAACGCGAAUCUGCUGUACACGCUGCGCUCCCUGCACAAUGCACACUACCGCGUCCGCGAGGAUGUGGCUGCAGUGCUGCUGCAGGAGGACUUUUUUGAGGAGGCAUCGAGAGGCGAAUUCUACACCAUGAGCUACCUGCGCCAUCGCAUCCCGUUCUUGUUCCAACUCGCCCUGCAUACGUGGACGCCCCAACAGAGUCGGCAAGCGACGCCGACGUCAGGGCGAACGCCCCUGCACCACGCGGCGCAGCACUCCACGGGGGAGGAGGAGAAUGACCGAGAAGGCAAUAGCCGCCGCAGCGACUCGGACUGCCCUGGCAAUGACGAGGCGGCUUGCGGGAACCCGUUCGCAACGAGCGAGUCGCACUGCGUGCGUGAAGAAAACGAGCGAUCACAGCCAUCAAUGUACCCAGCGACAGCAGAGCCGCAGCCGUCCUCGUCUUCAGGGAGACCGGAAACGUCUCUUCCAUCAGAGCAGCUCACGCAGCUCGCCUUGCUGGCGGUGCAUCUGCUCUGUGGCGACCGGUCACGCGUGCGUGAGGGGCCCGCGGAGGCCUCCAUAGCAUCGUGCGGGCCUGUCUGGGAUGCGCACACGGUGCGUAACUUCUUCGAAGAGCAUCGGUGGCUGGUGCAAUGGACCAGCCAGGUGCUGAACGCGCCGUGCGAAUGGGUGAAUAACGUGGCGAACCGCGCCGUAGAGGACGUUUUGGUAGCACAACCGCAGCGGCCGUCCGCGGGAGAGCCCGGUGCGCCACCAUAGAGCUUCAGCAGCGGCUCAUCCAACCCGCUUCGACUGCCGUCAGCGGUGGGCGCGGCGCCAGCCACCCACCAACGUGCACCACCGCAGCAGUCAUCGCUCAAGAUGGCGGCCUCGCCGGUGCAAGCGUGUUCACCCGACGUCACCGAUCUCAUGCAAUCCUCUCCUUGCUCCAGCAGCACAAGCGCUGAUCUCACGGAGCCGCGCUUGCCAAACCUGUCGCUGCUCUCUUCCCAUCACGUGGGAACGCCGCCGCUGUCGCAGUACCUCUCUCCUAUAGGGUGCCGUACCCCGCUGUCUCAGCAGCCAACGCCUCCCUCUCCUUCCUCGCCGGCCGGCCAGCGAACUCCACGACCGCAGCCACUCCUGAACGUGCCGGCUCACGGCGAAAGCAGCAGCGGCAGCACGCCAACGUCCACCACUGGCAUGCCAGACCGAUCGCAUUACAUCAACAUGCUCAGCCCCGAGGCCGCUAAGUCCUUCAUGACCACUGCGGAACUCACGGUCGAGCUGGAGCGGCAGUGCCGUCGCAUUCGUCACGCCGUCGUGCUGCUCGAGUCUCUUCUGGUGGCUGUCGGGAUGGUGGAGCCCUUUCUCUACCGUCGACCUGUCUGCUCCUCCCCGAUGCGGUCGUGGACGCGGCGUGAUAGCAGGCAUAGAGGCGCUAGCGGCAUAUCGGGGUUUAACGUUGCAGACGACGAGGACAAGGGUGACAACCAUGAUUUGCUCGGCGGCGGCUACGCUGACAGCGCUGCGAGACGACAAUGUUGUCUGUGUCACUUGACGACGAUGGAGCCUAGCGCCAGCACCGGCCCCCUGGCCGCGACGCGCCACGUGAGUAACGUUCUGGAUGCGAAUCGCGACAGUGAGUACGAGGACGAAGCGAACGGCGGCGGGGCCGGUGGCGGGCUCGCAGACGGGGCGGCUGCUGCGUCGGCACUGGCAGUGGAGGAAUCCAGUGAGCCUCCGAAGGAGUUUCUCGUGCGGCACGCCAUGCACGCUUUUACGCACAUGUUCCUCUCCAUUACAGCGGUGCGGCAGCGGCUGCAAGCGUACAGCCAUGAGCGCCGGCACACGCCUUCGACUGCAACGGUGGCGACUGCUGCUGCUGCCGCCGCCGCCCGGGCAAGUUUUUCUCUGACGCCGUUGGCCUCUAAUGGGCCGUGCAACACUCUGGGACCUUUCUCGCCGUUCUCCACGACGAUCAGCGGUGCAGCGAACCUUACCGUCGCCACGGUUAACGCCGCCGCUGCCUCGUCUCCGGUGACGACUGAGGACCCGACAACUCGUUCACACCCGCUGUCUUCCCCGCUCGCGGCACGCCGACCGCGUACGCCUGCAUCAAGUGCCAGCGGCUCCGUCAGCUUGAGGAGCUCCUCAUUGAUGCUGUGCAGGACAAUUUCGAGGUGCUGAAGAAAUCGGCGAUCGCGUUCGUGGCGCAUCAUUCGGCAAUCACAGAGGAAGCUAUCUGCGCCAUCGACGCCGAGGGUGCCGUUUUCACGUUGCAGGCCACCAUGAUGCUCGCUCACGUCUUCGCACCGGAGGUGCUCGCCACACAUCCGCCGGGAUCGCCCGGCGGCAUGGCAUUGGAGUGGAUACUGAGCUACGUUUUUGCCGGCUGCAACGGCGCGGAGGUGCGCCAUCAUCAGCAGCAGCAGCGCCAUUACGACACUGGCGCCUCCGGCGCUAACUCGAGCCUUGACUGCUUCAGUCUGAUGAACAGCAGCCACAGCAGCACGAGCACGGCGUCGCGUAGUCCUGAGGCGAGAGAGGUGUACACAGGACCGGACGGAGGAUGGCGGAACACAGGCAGCGGCUGCCGCAGCGCCCCCCCCCCCCCCCCCCCCCCCCCCCCCGACAGGUGGGGCGCGAACAAGCUCGAGUACGCCGACGCCCUGUUGUGCCUCUGCCUCUCGGGGGAGAUCAGCGACGGCGAGGACGAUGACGAUGACGAGGGGGACGACAAGGACGCCUCGGACGGGAACGGACGAGAUGCGGCGGAAAAGGUGCCGACGAACAUCCGCGUGGGGUACAUUCUGGCAGCUUGCUUCACUCGGUGCCAACCGCUCAUGACCUUCAUUGGGUGCGUGGCUGAAAGCAAGCAGUACAACUGCAGCCGCACAGUCGCGCAGGCUGUUCUGCAGUACGCCUUCGCACUGUCGCAGACGUCAGCGCGUCUGCUGCGCACACCGCUGCCGACGAGCAGCUGAGGCACGCCCUUUACGGAGUCGAUGAUGCGUGGCCUGUCGGAGCUUGCGACGCUUAUGCACCAAUCCGCAUCGGUGAUGCCGGCACACGGCCUCAUGGCAGCAGCAGCAACGGGUGCCGCGGCCAGUGCGCCUGUGAGCGUUCCUUCGAAGUGGUCAUUUACAUCCUCUUCUCAGGCGGUGGCGGCAGAUGGCAGCCCACUCGCGAUCCCACGUGCACGGAUGCCACCACACCUUGCAGUUCGUGAUACUGCGGCUACUGCUGUGGGCCAGACGCAGGAACUCACCCCACUCCUGGCAGCGCAGUCCAACGUCCCGGCGUCGGCCGUCCUCAUGGCGAUGCGGCACUGGCCGCACCGCCACGCGUACUCGCUUGUACCGCCGACGGCCGCAGUCGUCACAGGCACCACGCCGGCAGAGGAGAGCGAGGCUGCCCAGGUGCGGACGCUGCGGCGAUGUAUGGCCUUGCACUGGGCCAACUGUGUGCUGCUGUGCGCUCGUGCACUGACGCUAGCCGGCACCUACGACAUCGCUGUUCCGUAUGAGCUCUACACCGAUAUCCGUACAGCCCGGCUGUGGCUGCGGGAGCGCAUGGCGGAGUACCGCGGUCGCAUGAAGGCGCAGUUCGAGGCUGCCUGCGACGAGGUGCGGCUGGCACGACUAAAAGAGGUGUUUGCGCGAUGGGACGCGGAUGAGCAGCGCAUGUCCGCCAACGACGCGGAGGCCGCUGGGGACAUCUACGGGGGCUUUUCAACGGCCACGGUGCCGCAGACGCAACAGGAGACGCCGGGGCCACCGGCGCUCGCCAGCGUGCACCCACUCGGCAGCGUGACUGCGGCACCCCUGAAUCCCGAACCCCUCGCCGCCUCAUCUGUCCUCCGCCACCACGCAACCCAAGCGAUCACGGCGACCUCGGACUCCUUCGCUUCCCACAACACCUCCUCUAGGAUGCCCACUACGGGUGCCGCCUCGGAGCUGGCGCGGCAGCAGCCGCGGACGCCGCACAGCAACGGUUCGCGGCCGCCGUCCAUCAGCGCCCACCCGCCCGGCCUCUCCGUCCACCGCACCGCUGCCGCUGCCGCCGACUCCACGGAGAAGGAGAGGUACCACCGCGCCUUCGCGGAACCCUUCUGUUUCGGCAGCUCUGACCCUGAGCUGCUGUCAGUCAGCCUGCCAGGUCAGUCGGGAAACGCCGUCCUGGUGCCAAUCCAUGUUAUAGUCUUCACUUCACUCUUCACGAUUCUCGAUGUGAUGGGAGACGUUCUCUUGUGCGAGAAUCCGCGUCUGAGCACCGUAGUGGCCAAUGAGCUGCUGACGCUGCUCUUCGAGACGAGGUUGAGUGUGCUGGAGCCGCUACACGAGGCGAUGGCCGCGGCUGAGCGGCGGGGGUCGACGGCUCCGACGCCGGACGCCGCGUCGAUGGCGUUGUCUCCGUCAGGGUCGUUUUGCCUCACCUUCUCGCGGCCGGACAGCCUCACAGCCCGCCGCUCGGACGCCUCCAUGCCGCCUGCUUCCACACUGGCACCGUUACACUGCCCGCCGCGAUCUUCCUCAGACGACGGCAGCGGCGUCUUCGUUGCAUAACCGGCGGCGAGCAUGGCGCUAAGUCGGCCGCUGCGCCGUGGCGACGGGAAAACAAGGGCGUCCGGCGCGUCGGGCCGCACCUGCGAUAGUGAAAGCCGUGAGGACAGUUGGCGCCUUCGACGACACAGAAACGGCCGCGAUCCGCCUCCAGCACUCGCGCGUGGCGGCCACAUUCUGCUGUUAAACGAGUACGCCCUUCUUCUCGAGGCGGGGCUGCGCUCGCCGCAAGUGGUCCGCCGCUGGCGCACCGAGUUGAAAGCAAACCCCGAGCGCGCCGCCUGCGGCUACGCGUCUUUGCUGUACCACCUGCAGCUACGUCAGGAGCAGUGGACCGAAGAGAGUCCGGACGAGUACCACCUUUCGCGUAGGCCGCUGCGACUCAUGCUCGACGUGACGGCGCGUGAUGUACGAGGCAACAUCCACGGCAACAUUUUGCAUGUUGACGGCCUUGACGUCGUGGCCAGCCGCAAGGAGGAGGUGGCGCCGCGGUUAGGUGUGACCUCACCGAGCACCUCGCUGGCCACAGCGACCUACUCUGCGGAAUGGAACCCAGGAUGAUGGAGACCUCGGAGCCAGGUGAUUCACUCGUGGUGCCGCACGCGACCGCAGCCACAGCCGCCAGUCGGGUGGCCGCGGCAACCGCUAGCGCCGUCGCCGCAGUGGGGACCGCGUCGUCGUCGAUCGCGGCGCAUGCUCAUGGUGUGUUGUCUCUUACCAUGGAGGGGACGCCGCCAGAAAGCCAAGGCGGGGAGGCGCGCGGCUCUGCCGACUUCCUCGCUGAGGACACCGCCGACGAGGAGGACCAGCAGCAUCAGCGCGAUGGCGGCAGCGCACCAAUGCUCGAUGUAUGUUCGGCACCGAACGCUGGCAACUUCUCUGUGGACUCCCUCGAUCCCGGCCACCAGGUCCUCAUCGCGCCGCCAGACGUUGCUCCUAUUCCACUGGCCGCCUCCGGGGCGCUGCAGGCCGCGCACGACGCGGACCGAAGUCACGCUCGCAGCGUCGUCAUGCCACCUUUCACAGCGUGCCCUUUUUCACCGUUGCUGCCAGCGACGCCGACGGUAGCGCCUUCGCCGCCGCCGCUACCACAGGAGCUGGGCUCAUUGCUACCCCGCCUGAGCUCCGCUGAUUCUCUGAGCUUGGCGGGUGGGAGGUUGAAGAUGAGGGACACCAGCAUUGCCGCCACUGCACUGCACGGCCAGCCCACUGUGCUGGCCAACUCCCACUUCUCUGCCCAGGUCGACUACCCGAACCCAGAGAGCGAGUGUGACGACGCCACGCCGCGUCAUCCGGAGCUGCGCAGCAGCAGCUCUUGUACUUCAGCCACCACCGUGGAAGAGGUGGCGAAUGACGGGGAUGCGCACAGCGCCACCUCGCCUGAGCCCAGGGGAGUGCCCUUGCCGUCGGCCGCGGCGUCGCAUUACCCUCACUCGAAUGAGCCGCAGAGCCACGACGACUUCGAUCACCACCAUACCGGCCACGAGGAGCUCCAUCCUCGCAACGGACAGGAGAGCCCAGGCAUGUCCGUGUCGGUGACGGAGCACCGGCACGGCGACAUGCGCCACGGCACGACGCGACGCCGCUGCGUCACGCGUGUGCUGCUUGCCGGGCCACGAGGCGACCUGGAGACACUAGUGUCACGCAUGCCGCAUACGUGGUCGCUGCAGCAGCCGCUGGAAACUCUGCAACAGGAGGCUAUGGAGGAGGAGAGGGCCAACGCUGCAAGUGCAACGGCAGCGACGAGGACGGAGAACGCCGGCUUGGCUGGCGGCAAGGUACCCGAUAAGAGCGCUGCCUCAGUGAGGAUAAGCUACACCCCCGUGCGCACGACAUUCCCGCUAGCAGCGGCGGCCUCGGAGGAGGAGCGAGCCGAGGAGGACAUCGUCGACGUGGCCGCUGCGGAAGAGAAGGCAGCGAUGAACGCAGAGCUGCACAACAGCGGCGGCAGCGCCGUCGAACCUCCUUCUCGAGAGGGUACCCCGAACGUACGCUUACACGUUGCUCAGGCACCGCACGAGGAGCAGCAGGAAGAGAGCGAGUGUGGCGUUGUGGUCGCUCAUGAGGCCCCAGCGCUGAUCGAGGACGUGGUCACUGGUGCUGAUAGCGCUGUCGUCCGCGCGGCCGAGGCGGCUGCGACUGUGGACAUCGGCAGCCAACUGGCGGAGGCCACGCCGUGCGCAGACAGGGUCUCCCUGGAUUCAUCUGCCGCACAGCCGGUGUCACAGGUGCCCAAGUAGGGGCAACCCGGAGAGCUGCAGAGGGAUACGCCACCGCCACCACCGACGCAACGCCCUGUCGUGCCCGUGACCGCCGCAGCGAUUGCCAGCACCGUCCCACAUAUUUCGAUUGUGCCGCGUCACCCAUGGCUGCCGUACGCGGUCUAGGCAGCCGGGCGAUCUCUGACGGCAAAACUCUAUGCGUGUCGUCCUAGCUUCCUCGGAGCGGCGGCGCCGCGCGUUCGCAGGCGUGCUUAGCGCAAGAACGGUGGCUGGCAACGAUCGUAGCAGUGGGCGUAACGCUUAUGCAGAGCAGCACCGCACUGGUUCUUGAUCAUCCAAAGACCCGAUCAACAGCAACGACACCGAAGUAUCCGCUUAGGGUGGCCGUCACUACGGCGUGCCCGUUCAAGCGUGUACUUGCGAGUGUGUUCGCCAUGCGUGCGGUGUUACCGGUGCGCCCUUUUCAAGUUCGCAAAAAGCUGGAAGACGAGCGCAUCUUCUCUCCGUGUUCCGUGCUUCUUGUCGUCUGCGCUUGGCUGAU